Gadus macrocephalus (Pacific cod) is the source of this 757-nucleotide long non-coding RNA. RefSeq lists it as uncharacterized. The transcript is spliced from 2 exons. NCBI's taxonomy places the organism in Eukaryota, Metazoa, Chordata, Actinopteri, Gadiformes, Gadidae. The record is from RefSeq and is a predicted model, not a curated record.
CACAGUUAGUAACGAGAGAGGGAGUUAUAUUUCAUGUAGGCUACGCCGUCUAGGCUUUGCCUUAUGGGCUUGUCCCGUACGCGCGCUUGCUUGCCCUGAAAAUUCCGUAGGCCUCCCUGUCAACCGACAAGGAGACCAUGGCAGAGGAGAGCAGGGCGAUGUUGUUGACCGCCGCCGCGGAUUGAGAGGCACAAACGAACACCCUUGAUGGGCAAAUUAAGCUUUUAUGAAGCAUCGAACCAGUUGAGCCAAAUGUUUCGAAAAUGGGUUCAUUACUCGAAGCUUCAGUGACAGUGACCUCUGCUGGCGAAGUUCGAGGCUGCAGUGGAUUCAACGUAUCCCUGCUUUGAAAACGAUUUGACGCACAAACACACAAACCCAAAUACUUAAUAGCAUGAUCUUUUCACGAAUAAAGAUUGAUCUAAAUACAGAUGUCUAAAUUGUUCUUAAAGGGAUAUGCCUAGCCUUCUGUCCAGAUAGGCUAACUGAUGUAGGCUAGGAUAUAAUUGAAACAGCAUGUAAAAACUUUCCACCCAGGAACGGGAUUCGAACCCGGGUCCUCCACUCCACAGUCAGUGUGUUAUCCCCUAGUCUAUGGAGUCAGUUUCCUGCCAUAAUUCAAACCUGAAAAAAAAAGUUUCAAAGGCUUGUAAGUCUGGGUUUGAAAACUCAACACCUUGUAAAAAAGGUUUUGCAACACUGAAAAAAGAGAUUAUAACCUGAAAAAAAAUAAAACUAAAAUUCAAACAUCUGUAAA